RNAcentral lists this ribosomal RNA (107 nucleotides) under Coccidioides immitis. Its description in RNAcentral is "partial 5.8S ribosomal RNA". It matches the Rfam family "5.8S ribosomal RNA", at positions 50 to 154 of the family's 154-position model. Rfam says of the family: 5.8S ribosomal RNA (5.8S rRNA) is a component of the large subunit of the eukaryotic ribosome. The record is from RNAcentral. Lineage: Eukaryota; Fungi; Ascomycota; Eurotiomycetes; Onygenales; Onygenaceae.
GAAAUGCGAUAAGUAAUGUGAAUUGCAGAAUUCCGUGAAUCAUCGAAUCUUUGAACGCACAUUGCGCCCUCUGGUAUUCCGGGGGGCAUGCCUGUUCGAGCGUCAUU